AGAGUUUGAUCCUGGCUCAGGAUUAACGCUGGCGGUGCACAUAAGACAUGCAAGUCGAACGGGAAUCGUUAUUAAUGGAAAUAAGAUUUAUCUGAAAUAAGUUAAUAACAAUGAUUUUAGUGGCGGACUGGUGAGUAACACGUAAGCAACCUGCCUAUUAGAGGGGAAUAACAGUGAGAAAUCACUGCUAAUACCGCAUAAGCUGACAAUAUCGCAUGAUAUAGUCAGAAAAGGAGAAAUCCGCUAAUAGAUGGGCUUGCGUCCGAUUAGCUAGUUGGUGGGGUAAAGGCCUACCAAGGCAACGAUCGGUAGCCGAGCUGAGAGGCUCAACGGCCACAUUGGGACUGAGAUACGGCCCAGACUCCUACGGGAGGCAGCAGUCGGGAAUAUUGCACAAUGGAGGAAACUCUGAUGCAGUGACACCGCGUAUAGGAAGAAGGUUUUCGGAUUGUAAACUAUUUUAGACAGGGAAGAAAAAAGACAGUACCUGUAGAAUAAGCUCCGGCUAACUACGUGCCAGCAGCCGCGGUAAUACGUAGGGAGCAAGCGUUAUCCGGAAUUAUUGGGUGUAAAGGGUGCGUAGACGGGACAGCAAGUUAGUUGUGAAAGCCCUCGGCUUAACUGAGGAACUGCAACUAAAACUAUUGUUCUUGAGUGCAGGAGAGGAAAGCGGAAUUCCUAGUGUAGCGGUGAAAUGCGUAGAUAUUAGGAGGAACACCAGUGGCGAAGGCGGCUUUCUGGACUGUAACUGACGUUGAGGCACGAAAGUGUGGGGAGCAAACAGGAUUAGAUACCCUGGUAGUCCACACUGUAAACGAUGGAUACUAGGUGUAGGAAAUGAUUUCAUUAUCUGUGCCGAAAGCAAACGCAAUAAGUAUCCCACCUGGGGAGUACGGCCGCAAGGUUGAAAUUCAAAGGAAUUGACGGGGGCCCGCACAAGCAGUGGAGUAUGUGGUUUAAUUCGAAGCAACGCGAAGAACCUUACCAGGGCUUGACAUAUACAGGAAUAUUUAUGAAAGUAGAUAGCUCUUCGGAGUCUGUAUACAGGUGGUGCAUGGUUGUCGUCAGCUCGUGUCGUGAGAUGUUGGGUUAAGUCCCGCAACGAGCGCAACCCCUAUGAUUAGUUGCCAGCACGUAAAGGUGGGAACUCUAAUCAGACUGCCGGUGAUAAAUCGGAGGAAGGUGGGGACGACGUCAAAUCAUCAUGCCCUUUAUGUCCUGGGCAACACACGUACUACAAUGGUCGUAACAGAGAGAGACGAAACAGUGAUGUGGAGUAAAACUUAGAAAAGCGACCUCAGUUCGGAUUGAAGGCUGAAAUUCGCCUUCAUGAAGUCGGAAUUGCUAGUAAUGGCAGGUCAGCAUACUGCCGUGAAUACGUUCCCGGGCCUUGUACACACCGCCCGUCACACCAUGAGAGUUGGAGAUACCCGAAGCCUAUGAGCUAACUUUUAGAGGCAGUAGUCGAAGGUAGAAUCAAUGAUUGGGGUGAAGUCGUAACAAGGUAACC
RNAcentral lists this ribosomal RNA (1510 nucleotides) under uncultured bacterium. RNAcentral describes it as "bacterial SSU rRNA". It matches the Rfam family "Bacterial small subunit ribosomal RNA". The record is from RNAcentral.